GCUGACAUGGCGUAAUUGGUAGGCGCGAGAGAUUUAAAAUCUCUUACCGUAAGGUGUCUGGGUUCGAUCCCCAGUGUCAGCA
Molecule: transfer RNA, 82 nt
Organism: Zostera marina
Lineage: Eukaryota; Viridiplantae; Streptophyta; Magnoliopsida; Alismatales; Zosteraceae
Rfam family: tRNA
About the family: Transfer RNA (tRNA) molecules are approximately 80 nucleotides in length. Their secondary structure includes four short double-helical elements and three loops (D, anti-codon, and T loops).
Source: Rfam